CCUGUCAAUCAGAAACUUUGGACAAGGAGUGUUAGAAGGGCGGCUGUGUGCUGCUGCCUGAUGUUACCUUAUUUUAACAUGGAUUUACGCUGAUCAGGCCGCGGCUGCCCGUGUGUGUAUGGUGAUGCAAGCUUGGCCUUGGUGCCUGGCUGGGAAAGCCAGGAGCUGCUGGUAAUGACGGCCAACAACACUGUAAUAUUGGUUUGGAGGUCUGAACAACGGUGGGGGUCGUUUAGAAGUCCGAGGCGGCGCUGAGGAAGAGAGAGAAACCCGAUUCACUCCACCACCACCGCCAUCACCACCACCACCACCACUACGGCCGUUCUAAUUCUCUGGCCAGGUAUUACACUAAGCACCAGUGACGGAAUAACAAGAUAUCCAUGGAAUCUUGCUAAUUAAGAGACGUAACACAAGCAGGAGGAAGAGGAAGAGGAAGACGAGGAGGAACAGGAAGAGGAGAGUAAGAGGAGGAGGUAAUGAUUCUACUGACGGAGGAAGAAUGGUUUGAGGCAAGGGAUUCAGGCUAAGCAGAAGGAGGAGGAGGAGGAGGAGGAGGAGGAGGAGGAGGAAGAGGGGUAGGACCUGGAUUGCCUGGGAAGAAACACCAAAAGAAAGAAGAGAUUGAUAAAAAGGGAGAUAAAAAGGAAGAAAGGAGCAGGAAGAAGAGCACGACGAGGAAGAAGAGGAGGAGGAGGAGGAGAAGAAAGAGGA
RNAcentral lists this long non-coding RNA (711 nucleotides) under Portunus trituberculatus (swimming crab). RNAcentral's name for it is "uncharacterized LOC123517574, transcript variant X3". The record is from RNAcentral. Lineage: Eukaryota; Metazoa; Arthropoda; Malacostraca; Decapoda; Portunidae.